Long non-coding RNA from Daphnia carinata, 496 nucleotides. RefSeq lists it as uncharacterized. Lineage: Eukaryota; Metazoa; Arthropoda; Branchiopoda; Diplostraca; Daphniidae. The record is from RefSeq and is a predicted model, not a curated record. The transcript is spliced from 4 exons.
GAUGUACCACAAUACAUAAAGAUGUAAUCAGUAAAUCCAUAGUUUUCUCCAUGUCAUUAUGGAUGUCCAGUCUUCCAACAUUAUUUGAUCAAAAUAUAGAGGCGGAGACAGUUUUAGGAGUGAGCGAUGACUGUGAAGAAUCUAUAUAGGUAGUUCUAUGGAUGUGUAGAGAAUGGUGGUUGCAGGGCAGAACUCAUUCUUUUAUGCAGUACCUCACCAUUUUUAUUAUAAAUUGUCUUUUGGCCCGCUUAAUGUAGCUGGAACAUGAAAUAUUGGAAUUGUAAUGGCUGACCAGAAUUACAAACACAUUUUUGCAGGAGUUUUUCAGCUAUCAUUGUUUUUCAGUGCUCAGAAUAAUUUGGCUUAGCAUAACAUUACUUCGGAAACACGGAUGCCCAAUCUACCAACAGGAUUUGAUCGAAAUGUAGGUGGAGACCUUUCCAUGGUGUGACAUUAUUAUAAAUCUUGAAUUUAACAGGAAAUAUUUCAUUAAUAC